GGGGAACUGAUUGGGAGGAGGUAGGUGUGGGAGAAUACAGGACUGGGGAACAUUGGGAGGAGGUAGGUGUGGGAGAAUACAGGACUGGGGAACUGAUUGGGAGGAGGUAGGUGUGGGAGAAUACAGGACUGGGGAACAUUGGGAGGAGGUAGGUGUGGGAGAAUACAGGGCUGGGGAACUGAUUGGGAGGAGGUAGGUGUGGGAGAAUACAGGACUGGGGAACAUUGGGAGGAGGCAGGUGUGGGAGAAUACAGGACUGGGGAACUGAUUGGGAGGAGGUAGGUGUGGGAGAAUAGAGGACUGUGGAACUGAUUGGGAGGAGGUAGGUGUGGGAGAAUACAGGACUGGGGAACUGAUUGGGAGGAGGUAGGUGUGGGAGAAUACAGGACUGCGGAACUGAUUGGGAGGAGGUAGGUAUGGGAGAAUACAGGACUGGGGAACUGAUUGGGAGGAGGUAGGUGUGGGAGAAUACAGGACUGGGGAACAUUGGGAGGAGGUAGGUGUGGGAGAAUACAGGACUGGGGAACUGAUUGGGAGGAGGUAGGUGUGGGAGAAUACAGGACUGGGGAACAUUGGGAGGAGGUAGGUGUGGGAGAAUACAGGACUGGGGAACUGAUUGGGAGGAGGUAGGUGUGGGAGAAUACAGGACUGGGGAACUGAUUGGGAGGAGGUAGGUAUGGGAGAAUACAGGGCUGGGGAACUGAUUGGGAAGAAGUAGGUGUGGGAGAAUACAGGACUGGGGAACUGAUUGGGAGGAGGUAGGUGUGGGAGAAUACAGGACUGGGGAACUGAUUGGGAGGAGGUAGGUGUGGGAGAAUACAGGACUGGGGAACUGAUUGGGAAGAAGUAGGUGUGGGAGAAUACAGGACUGGGGAACUGAUUGGGAGGAGGUAGGUGUGGGAGAAUACAGGACUGGGGAACUGAUUGGGAGGAGGUAGGUGUGGGAGAAUACAGAACUGGGGAACUGAUUGGGAGGAGGUAGGUAUGGGAGAAUACAGGACUGGGGAACUGAUUGGGAGGAGGUAGGUAUGGGGGAAUACAGGGGUGGGGAACUGAUUGGGAUGAAGUAGGUGUGGGAGAAUACAGGACUGGGGAACUGAUUGGGAGGAGGUAGGUGUGGGAGAAUACAGGACUGGGGAACUGAUUGGGAGGAGGUAGGUAUGGGAGAAUACAGGACUGGGGAACUGAUUGGGAGGAGGUAGGUGUGGGAGAAUACAGAACUGGGGAACUGAUUGGGAGGAGGUAGGUAUGGGAGAAUACAGGGCUGGGGAACUGAUUGGGAAUGGUAGGUGUGGGAGAAUACAGGACUGGGGAACUGAUUGGGAGGAGGUUGGUGUGGGAGAAUACAGGACUGGGGAACUGAUUGGGAGGAGGUAGUUGUGGGAGAAUACAGGACUGGGGAACUGAUUGGGAGGAGGUAGGUGUGGGAGAAUACAGGACUGGGGAACUGAUUGGGUAGAAGUAGGUGUGGGAGAAUACAGGACUGGGGAACUGAUUGGGAGGAGGUAGGUGUGGGAGAAUACAGGGCUGGGGAACAGAUUGGGAGGAGGUAGGUGUGGGAGAAUACAGGGCUGGGGAACUGAUUGGGAGGAGGUAGGUGUGGGAGAAUACAGGGCUGGGGAACUGAUUGGGAGGAGGUAGGUGUGGGAGAAUACAGGACUGGGGAACUGAUUGGGAGGAGGUAGGUGUGGGAGAAUACAGGGCUGGGGAACUGAUUGGGAGGAGGUAGGUGUGGGAGAAUACAGGGCUGGGGAACUGAUUGGGAAGAAGUAGGUGUGGGAGAAUACAGGACUGGGGAACUGAUUGGGAGGAGGUAGGUGUGGGAGAAUACAGGGCUGGGGAACUGAUUGGGAGGAGGUAGGUGUGGGAGAAUACAGUACUGGGGAACUGAUUGGGAGGAGGUAGGUGUGGGAGAAUACAGGACUGGGGAACUGAUUGGGAGGAGGUAGGUGUGGGAGAAUACAGGGCUGGGGAACUGAUUGGGAGGAGGUAGGUAUGGGAGAAUACAGGACUGGGGAACUGAUUGGGAGGAGGUAGGUGUGGGAGAAUACAGGACUGGGGAACUGAUUGGGAAGAAGUAGGUGUGGGAGAAUACAGGGCUGGGGAACUGAUUGGGAGGAGGUAGGUGUGGGAGAAUACAGGGCUGGGGAACUGAUUGGGAAGAAGUAGGUGUGGGAGAAUACAGGACUGGGGAACUGAUUGGGAGGAGGUAGGUGUGGGAGAAUACAGGACUGGGGAACUGAUUGGGAGGAGGUAGGUAUGGGAGAAUACAGGACUGGGGAACUGAUUGGGAGGAGGUAGGUGUGGGAGAAUACAGGACUGGGGAUCUGAUUGGGAGGAGGUAGGUGUGGGAGAAUACAGGACUGGGGAACUGAUUGGGAGGAGGUAGGUAUGGGAGAAUACAGGACUGGGGAACUGAUUGGGAAGAAGUAGGUAUGGGAGAAUACAGGGCUGGAGAACUGAUUUGGAAGAAGUAGGUGUGGGAGAAUACAGGGCUGGGGAACUGAUUGGGAGGAGGUAGGUGUGGGAGAAUACAGGGCUGGAGAACUGAUUGGGAGGAGGUAGGUAUGGGAGAAUACAGGGCUGGAGAACUGAUUGGGAGGAGGUAGGUGUGGGAGAAUACAGGGCUGGGGAACUGAUUGGGAGGAGGUAGGUAUGGGAGAAUACAGGACUGGGGAACUGAUUGGGAGGAGGUAGGUGUGGGAGAAUACAGGACUGGGGAACUGAUUGGGAGGAGGUAGGUGUGGGAGAAUACAGGACUGGGGAACAAUGGGAGGAGGUAGGUGUGGGAGAAUACAGGGCUGGGGAACUGAUUGGGAGGAGGUAGGUGUGGGAGAAUACAGGG
Molecule: long non-coding RNA, 2845 nt
Organism: Hypanus sabinus (Atlantic stingray)
Lineage: Eukaryota; Metazoa; Chordata; Chondrichthyes; Myliobatiformes; Dasyatidae
Exons: 7
Source: RefSeq, a predicted model, not a curated record